RNAcentral lists this ribosomal RNA (468 nucleotides) under uncultured bacterium. RNAcentral's name for it is "partial 16S ribosomal RNA". It matches the Rfam family "Bacterial small subunit ribosomal RNA", at positions 28 to 507 of the family's 1533-position model. The record is from RNAcentral.
GACGAACGCUGGCGGCGUGCUUAACACAUGCAAGUCGAACGGAAAGGCCCUGCUUUUGUGGGGUGCUCGAGUGGCGAACGGGUGAGUAACACGUGAGUAACCUGCCCUUGACUUUGGGAUAACUUCAGGAAACUGGGGCUAAUACCGGAUAGGAGCUCCUGCUGCAUGGUGGGGGUUGGAAAGUUUCGGCGGGUGGGUAUGGACUCGCGGCUUAUCAGCUUGUUGGUGGGGGAGUGGAUUACCAAGGCUUUGACGGGUAGCCGGCCUGAGAGGGUGACCGGCCACAUUGGGACUGAGAUACGGGCCAGACUCCUACGGGAGGCAGCAGUGGGGAAUAUUGCACAAUGGGCGGAAGCCUGAUGAAGCAACGCCGCGUGUGGGAUGACGGCCUUCGGGUUGUAAACCGCUUUCGCCUGUGACGAAGCGUGAGUGACGGUAAUGGGUAAAGAAGCACCGGCUAACUACGUG